This 18-nucleotide small nuclear RNA is filed under the name Arabidopsis thaliana (thale cress). RNAcentral's name for it is "snRNA_05874". Lineage: Eukaryota; Viridiplantae; Streptophyta; Magnoliopsida; Brassicales; Brassicaceae. The record is from RNAcentral.
ACCGUUGAUUCGCACAAU